This is a long non-coding RNA of Ictalurus punctatus (channel catfish), 662 nucleotides long. RefSeq lists it as uncharacterized. Lineage: Eukaryota; Metazoa; Chordata; Actinopteri; Siluriformes; Ictaluridae. The transcript is spliced from 3 exons. The record is from RefSeq and is a predicted model, not a curated record.
CUUGUGAUAGCAGCACGCAAUGAUUCUCAAAGGUGUUGAAAACUAUAAAUACUCUGCUCCAAAGUCCAUUUCCAGCAUUGCUGAGACCUAACGAUCCUUCAACCACCAGCCAAUAGAUGACAGAUAAAAAGAAAACGCAGAUGGCCUCUCCCUUCACAGAGCUGGAAUGCUACAUCAUUCUUCUUUCUCUGCUAGUCUUCAGUUUCUUUACUCUGCAUGGCAUGAUACAUGAGCGAUGCACACCUCCAACAGCUAAAGAAGGCGAAGAACAUCAUGACCCACUCAUAGUCUGAGCCUAGGCUUUGUUCGGAAUGAGAGCUACACCAACAGACUUAUAGGAUAUAUGCAAUUUUAAAACUCUCCUGGGACCCAGCAUAGCAGAACUUAUAUGUUGGAACUUGUUGGAUUUUCAUAUGGCAUAUCCAAAAGCGGACAGUUUGGGGGCCGGCUCCAGAUUCAAUUAUUUAUAGCCAUCAACAAAGACUGAUAAGGGGUGCGUGGCUAUAUUUGUCUAAAGGGCAAGUCUGUAAGGUGUGGAUGUAACGUGCUGACGUGGAUUAUUGAAGGCUCUUAGAACCUCAGAUGCUCUUAGAAGAAGUGUAUGGCUUUUGUAACACACAUUUGUACUGUACAUGAAAGCAACAAGAUUUUUAACUCUGAAG